This 449-nucleotide ribosomal RNA is filed under the name uncultured bacterium. RNAcentral describes it as "partial 16S ribosomal RNA". It matches the Rfam family "Bacterial small subunit ribosomal RNA", at positions 354 to 796 of the family's 1533-position model. The record is from RNAcentral.
GUCGAGAAUCUUUCACAAUGGGGGCAACCCUGAUGGAGCGACGCCGCGUGGAGGAUAAGGUCUUCGGAUUGUAAACUCCUGUCAUGCGUGAACAAGGUUGCUUGGUUAAUACCUGGGCAAAUUGAUGGUAACGCAAGAGGAAGAGACGGCUAACUCUGUGCCAGCAGCCGCGGUAAUACAGAGGUCUCAAGCGUUGUUCGGAAUCACUGGGCGUAAAGGGUGCGUAGGUGGCGUGGUAAGUCAGAUGUGAAAGCCCGGGGCUCAACCUCGGAACUGCAUCCGAUACGGCCAUGCUAGAGUACUGGAGAGGUGACUAGAAUUCUCGGUGUAGCAGUGAAAUGCGUAGAUAUCGAGAGGAAUACCAAAGGCGUAGGCAGGUCACUGGACAGUUACUGACACUGAGGCACGAAGGCCAGGGGAGCGAACGGGAUUAGAUACCCGGGUAGUCC